GAUGAACGCUAGCGGCAGGCUUAACACAUGCAAGUCGAGGGGCAUCGGGAGGAAAGCUUGCUUUCCUUGCCGGCGACCGGCGCACGGGUGAGUAACACGUAUGCAACCUGCCCUCUUCAGGGGGACAACCUUCCGAAAGGGAGGCUAAUCCCGCGUAUAUCGGUUUCGGGCAUCCGAGAUCGAGGAAAGAUUCAUCGGAAGAGGAUGGGCAUGCGGCGCAUUAGCUAGACGGCGGGGUAACGGCCCACCGUGGCGACGAUGCGUAGGGGUUCUGAGAGGAAGGUCCCCCACACUGGUACUGAGACACGGACCAG
This 314-nucleotide ribosomal RNA is filed under the name uncultured bacterium. RNAcentral's name for it is "bacterial SSU rRNA". It matches the Rfam family "Bacterial small subunit ribosomal RNA", at positions 28 to 334 of the family's 1533-position model. The record is from RNAcentral.